RNAcentral lists this ribosomal RNA (254 nucleotides) under uncultured bacterium. Its description in RNAcentral is "partial 16S ribosomal RNA". It matches the Rfam family "Bacterial small subunit ribosomal RNA", at positions 524 to 778 of the family's 1533-position model. The record is from RNAcentral.
UACGUAGGUGGCAAGCGUUAUCCGGAUUUAUUGGGUUUAAAGGGUGCGUAGGCGGUCCCAUAAGUCAGUGGUGAAAUACUCUAGCUUAACUAGAGGGGUGCCAUUGAUACUGCGGGACUGAGUGGAGUUGAAGUGGGCGGAAUUGACGGUGUAGCGGUGAAAUGCGUAGAUAUCGUAAGGAAGACCAGUGGCGAAGGCGAGUCUCUGGACAGCAACUGACGCUGAGGCACGAAGGCCAGGGGAGCAAAACGGGG